RNAcentral lists this ribosomal RNA (304 nucleotides) under Escherichia coli. RNAcentral describes it as "partial 23S ribosomal RNA". It matches the Rfam family "Bacterial large subunit ribosomal RNA", at positions 2644 to 2925 of the family's 2925-position model. Lineage: Bacteria; Pseudomonadati; Pseudomonadota; Gammaproteobacteria; Enterobacterales; Enterobacteriaceae. The record is from RNAcentral.
GCCGUGGGCGCUGGAGAACUGAGGGGGGCUGCUCCUAGUACGAGAGGACCGGAGUGGACGCAUCACUGGUGUUCGGGUUGUCAUGCCAAUGGCACUGCCCGGUAGCUAAAUGCGGAAGAGAUAAGUGCUGAAAGCAUCUAAGCACGAAACUUGCCCCGAGAUGAGUUCUCCCUGACUCCUUGAGAGUCCUGAAGGAACGUUGAAGACGACGACGUUGAUAGGCCGGGUGUGUAAGCGCAGCGAUGCGUUGAGCUAACCGGUACUAAUGAACCGUGAGGCUUAACCUUACAACGCCGAAGCUGUU